This 301-nucleotide ribosomal RNA is filed under the name uncultured bacterium. RNAcentral describes it as "partial 16S ribosomal RNA". It matches the Rfam family "Bacterial small subunit ribosomal RNA", at positions 509 to 807 of the family's 1533-position model. The record is from RNAcentral.
CAGCCGCCACGGUAACACGGAGGGUGCAAGCGUUAAUCGGAAUUACUGGGCGUAAAGCGCACGCAGGCGGUCUGACAAGUCAGAUGUGAAAUCCCCGGGCUUAACCUGGGAACUGCAUUUGAAACUGUCAGGCUGGAGUCUUGUAGAGGGGGGUGGAAUUCCAGGUGUAGCGGUGAAAUGCGUAGAGAUCUGGAGGAAUACCGGUGGCGAAGGCGGCCCCCUGGACAAAGACUGACGCUCAGGUGCGAAAGCGUGGGGAGCAAACAGGAUUAGAUACCCGGGUAGUCCCUGUCUCUUAUAC